Molecule: long non-coding RNA, 232 nt
Organism: Fundulus heteroclitus (mummichog)
Lineage: Eukaryota; Metazoa; Chordata; Actinopteri; Cyprinodontiformes; Fundulidae
Exons: 3
Source: RefSeq, a predicted model, not a curated record
GGAAAACCGGCCAACAAAAAGAAACUCGACUUUGGCAGCGGAGAAUUUCAUGCUGUCUGUGGACCAGACCAUUGUGAAUGGCCACAUCAGAAUCUUCAGUGAUGCUUUUAUGCUGAUGUUUGGUUCGUACUACUGUAUGAACAUAUCUUACCCAGCAGCCCAGGCAUCAACUUUGGAGUUCUUACAGAGGUGCCUCUUCAAGAUAAAUCCAGACAAGGGAUCAAAAGUGGAG